This 59-nucleotide ribosomal RNA is filed under the name Fusarium sp. RNAcentral describes it as "partial 28S ribosomal RNA". It matches the Rfam family "Eukaryotic large subunit ribosomal RNA", at positions 1 to 56 of the family's 3401-position model. The record is from RNAcentral. Lineage: Eukaryota; Fungi; Ascomycota; Sordariomycetes; Hypocreales; Nectriaceae.
UGUUGACCUCGGAUCAGGUAGGAAUACCCGCUGAACUUAAGCAUAUCAAUAAGCGGAGG